AUGAAUGCUGGCGGCGAUGCCUAAUACAUGCAAGUCGAGCGGCAGCGAGGGUCUCAUCCUGUCUUGAAGCUUCGAGAAUAGAAUGAGAUCUGUCGGCGAGCGGCGGACGGCUGAGUAACGCAUGGGAACGCACCCCAAACUGAGGGAUAACCAGUCGAAAGAUUGGCUAAUACCGCAUGUGAUCUUCGGAUUAAAGCCUUCGGGCGGUUUGGGAGCGGCCUGUGUACGAUUAGAUAGUUGGUGAGGUAAUGGCUCACCAAGUCGACCGAUCGUUAGAUGGUUUGAGAGGAUGAUCAUCCAGACUGGGACUGAGACACGGCCCAGACUCCUACGGGAGGCAGCAGUAGGGAAUCUUUCACAAUGGGCGAAAGCCUGAUUGGAGCAAUGCCGCGUGCAGGACGAAGGCCUUCGGGUUGUAAACUGCUUUUAUAAGCGAGGAAUAUGACGGUAACUUAUGAAUAAGGAUCGGCUAACUACGUGCCAGCAGCCGC
RNAcentral lists this ribosomal RNA (491 nucleotides) under uncultured bacterium. RNAcentral describes it as "bacterial SSU rRNA". It matches the Rfam family "Bacterial small subunit ribosomal RNA", at positions 29 to 518 of the family's 1533-position model. The record is from RNAcentral.